GGGGAUUUAGCUCAGUGGCAUAAGCACCUGCCUUGCAAGCAGGAAGUCGUGAGUUCGAUCCCUG
Molecule: transfer RNA, 64 nt
Filed under: Cavia porcellus (domestic guinea pig)
Lineage: Eukaryota; Metazoa; Chordata; Mammalia; Rodentia; Caviidae
Rfam family: tRNA
About the family: Transfer RNA (tRNA) molecules are approximately 80 nucleotides in length.
Source: Rfam by way of RNAcentral